This 70-nucleotide microRNA precursor is filed under the name Gyrodactylus salaris (gyrodactylosis fluke). RNAcentral's name for it is "microRNA gsa-mir-277b precursor". Its record names the gene gsa-mir-277b. The record is from miRBase by way of RNAcentral. Lineage: Eukaryota; Metazoa; Platyhelminthes; Monogenea; Gyrodactylidea; Gyrodactylidae.
AUAGACUCUACAUGUAUUUCUAUAACAGGGUCAUAAGUGCCACAAUAUAAAUGCAUGUUUUUGUCUAUAC